This 27-nucleotide non-coding RNA is filed under the name Rattus norvegicus (Norway rat). Lineage: Eukaryota; Metazoa; Chordata; Mammalia; Rodentia; Muridae. The record is from RNAcentral.
UAUAAAAGACAACGUUUAACUGGGGCU